Non-coding RNA from Salvelinus sp. IW2-2015, 1170 nucleotides. The record is from RefSeq and is a predicted model, not a curated record. Lineage: Eukaryota; Metazoa; Chordata; Actinopteri; Salmoniformes; Salmonidae.
UGUACCUAUGAUAAAAAUUACAGACCUCUACAUGCUUUCUCCAUGUUGUUCAGAAGUCUACUAGUAAAAGAUGGAGCAAUUGUGGGACACCACCACUUGUGAACACCUACUCAACCUCUAAGGUAAAUGGCUUACAGUAACUUGAUAGCAUUGAAGCAUUCACAUUGAAACAAUGGACCUUAUUUUGUUGCAAAUCCCAAAUGGACCCCCAUACCCUAUGCACUUGUGGAGAUCUGAGAUGAUUUGAUGGGUUUAAACAAUAUGAUUAAACCUAGCCUAUCAGAGGGUUAAUUGGAAUAAUGACAAAUUUGCUCACAUAAGUCAAAUCCUCUCAGAUCUCCUAAAGUGCAUAAGGAGUAGGGUCUAGGGCAGGGCUAUUCAACUCUUACCCUACGAGGGUUGGAGCCUGCUGGUUUUCUGCUCUACCUGAUAACUAAUUGUACACACCUUGUUUCCCAGGUCUAAAUCAGUCCCUGAUUAGAGGAAAACAUUUUUUUAAUGUAAUGGAACUGGCUUCGAGGUUCAGAGUUGAGUUUGAGGGGUCUAGGGGGUGAUUUAGGAUUGGGCCAUACUUUUGGAAUCAGAACUUUCAACUGAAGUGUGACAUACAUUAGACGUCUGUUAUGGUUAACAUGUGAUUCAGUUUGCUAAUGGACCAAAAAAGGUAACCCCCAAAAAGUUAAACUGUGAACGACCCGACAAGACAUGGAAAAUGCAACGGCCAGAAUUCUGGAGACCACAGCUGUCUCUCCGCUUUCUAAUGAUGGAUUCCAAAUGAUCGUGCUGAUGAAGCUGGAAACAAUUAUCGAGAACCAGUUGGAACUCCUAGCAAUUCUGCCAGACGAAGUCCUGCCUAGACCUUGAACGACCAAGGAGGAUUUGGAGGACCUCUGCAAGAGUCUGGAGGAGGCCACCACAUAACGGAAAGAGAUGGUUGCAGAGAGGGUUGAAGAGGAGGUUGUGGAGGAGUGAGCCCUUGACUCCCCUGUACCAUAGACGGUGGUCAGACAAGACAAUUGUGUAAUCCGUGUGUGUGUGCCAAUCAGAUUGCAGAUGUCUGAAUUGUUAGCAAAAAUUAUAAAUGUGUUAACUGUUAAUAUAUUUUAUUUUGUAAGAUUUUAUGACUUUUUUUCAAACAAUACAAAACAUGCACAUACCAACGACAGCAUA